CGUCGGGAGGUGAGGUGUUACUGGAUGAGUGUUGUCUUACGUCGGUCUCCGGCGCCGGGGAGGAGGGGAUUACGGACCGCAGUCGCUUGAGUUUUUGAGACUUAUACACCGUGUGGGACAGCUGGAAAGACUGUAUACUUCUCAGAAGACUCGUGAGAGGCAUGGCCCCACUUCCUACCUGAUGUCGGAAGAAAGAAAUGGCUGAGGGAGGUGUCCAGAUAGAUGAGCUUGAGCUGGUACUUCCUAUGGCCCUUGCCUUUUGAAUGAGGACCUUCAACAUCCCAUACAAUGGCUGUUGGAGUGAAGACAAAGUGUGGCACUGCCACAAGCUUAUGUGAAGUAGCAUGCAACCUGAGGAAGAAAUAAACCUUUGUUGUUAUAAGCCA
This is a long non-coding RNA of Diceros bicornis minor, 386 nucleotides long. RefSeq lists it as uncharacterized. The record is from RefSeq and is a predicted model, not a curated record. NCBI's taxonomy places the organism in Eukaryota, Metazoa, Chordata, Mammalia, Perissodactyla, Rhinocerotidae. The transcript has 3 exons.